GUCACUUUGGGUCCCCUGACCCCUCCUUUUGGGCUGUUCCCAAGCGUUUCAAAACUGAAAUCUAUCUUAAUUACAGUGUGCCACUUAUCAAAACUGAGCAAGCCAUACAAUAUCAACACGGAUCACUGACCCCUGCAGCAACCCACAAAUAUCCUGGGACAGAGUAGGGCCCAAGUAAUUUUUUUAUUUCUAUAAAUCCCAAGUCACUUUUAUUUAAAGUAUUUACUAUAACUGCCCCCUUCCUUUUCUUGAAAAAAAAAAAUAGACAAGUGAAAUGAGAAAUACUGUUCUUGAGCACUUUAUCGAUUAGAAAGUGACUCAGGUCUCCUAAGGGGAAAAAAAGACACCAACAUUAACACACAGACAUAAAUGUUAAGUUUUAUGUUCAUGCCACAAGGACCGAACACUAAAACAUUCUGACUUCCACGUGGGUCUAACUGCUUCUAUCUGCAAAAUUUCUACAAAUGAUUGCUAUUUUACUGAUUCAAACAUUAUUAAAACCAUUUCAGUGCUAAAUAAAACUGUUUCCUAUUUUCCUACACUAAAACUUCAAUUCAUGCAAUCGAUCUAAAUUGUGUUUAUGUCAUUUUGCUAUUUGGGUGGUUUCUGGUGUUUACAACUAACCUAAACCUGUUCAUAACCAAAAAAAAAAAAAAAAUCUUGAAAAUAAAUGAUUGUAACAUUUAUUACGUCUGCUUAAAUUGAUUACCUAUGAAAAAAAUUGAUUAACUAUGAAUGUAUAAGUACCAUCUAAAAUGAGAUAGGUACAAAAGACAAAUAAAAUAAGAUAGGUACUUAUUAAUUAAAUAAGUACUUUUAAAAUAGACUUCGUAAAAAAUAAAAAUAUCCUUCUGUUUAGGGUUAUUUAUAGAGGAUUUAAAUGUCCGAAUUUGGCUUUCUUUAAGAAGCAUUUCUGAAUCAAUUUUUAAAAUAAACAAACAUUACAUUUUAAAGUUUUAUUUGAAGUUGUGUGCUAGCAAACCUUUCUAUUCCUUCUCAUUCCCAAGCAAUUUACAGCUUGUUUCUACCACUCUACUUGUAAAGAUAUUUAAAUGUGUCUUUGGCAUGAAUAGUUUUUAAUUCCAUUAAUACUAUUUACCCUACAAAACAAGUCUCCUUCCUCCUCAAGAAAUAAGUUUAAAAGAAACUAGCAUCCUACAUAACUGGAGUUCAAAGUUGUCAUGGGAAUACAGCAACUUACAACACAUCACAAAGAUUUAUUCUUCUCCGCCCUAAAAGCCACUAUUGACUACGGUAAUCAGUAAAAUGCUCAGGACUUCAAGGACACUGAAGUUAAACAAGGUA
This 1305-nucleotide long non-coding RNA is filed under the name Lynx pardinus (Iberian lynx). Lineage: Eukaryota; Metazoa; Chordata; Mammalia; Carnivora; Felidae. The record is from RNAcentral.